UGCCUUUAUGUGUUGCCCGUUCAUUGCUUUAUGGUGAAUGUGGCGUCAACAAAGGCGCACAGCAAACUCUUGUAUCGGCCUUAGCAAGGCUCCUCACCAGUGACCUUGUCCUAAGUUCUAUACCAAGUACAAAU
Molecule: small nucleolar RNA, 134 nt
Organism: Notolabrus celidotus (New Zealand spotty)
Lineage: Eukaryota; Metazoa; Chordata; Actinopteri; Labriformes; Labridae
Product: small nucleolar RNA SNORA13
Exons: 1
Source: RefSeq, a predicted model, not a curated record